RNAcentral lists this long non-coding RNA (467 nucleotides) under Saimiri boliviensis boliviensis (Bolivian squirrel monkey). Its description in RNAcentral is "lncRNA (ENSSBOG00000036617.1)". The record is from RNAcentral. Lineage: Eukaryota; Metazoa; Chordata; Mammalia; Primates; Cebidae.
AUGAGCCAAUGUUAUCAUCCCCGCAGUGGAAGCUCCUUUCCUGGAUGCUCCUCGUCCAAGAAGAAGAGCAGAAACCAAUCCCCGAAAGGUGGAAAGACUAUCCCCCAGUUGGCCAGCAGAUGCCUGGAACUCGUUUCAUUGCUUUUAAAGUUCGUUUGCAGCAGAGUUUUGAAAAGAAACUUGCUCCAGAAGAAUGCUUUUCCCCUUUGGAUCUUUUUGACAAAAUCUGAGAAUAAAAUGAAGAACUUGGACUGAUUAUUGAUUUAACAUGUACUCAAUGUCAUAAACCAGAGGUAAGUGGAACUCUCAAUAGAAAAGUUCUUUAUUCUGAUACAAAAAUAAUUUAUAGUAAUUCAGUAAUAAUUCAGUAAUAAUCUUGUACUAAUGUGAAGCCUGGCCUUCUUUGAUGGGUAGUAAGGUUAAAAGAGAACCAAGUGAUUUCCUUAAUUACGUGUUUUUAAUUACUG